UCGUAACAAGUGAACCUGCGGAAGGAUCAUUAUCGAAUAUAAACUUGGGUAGACUGUUGCUGGCUUCUCUUCGAGGGGCAUGUGCACGUUUAUCCUCUUUAUUUUUCCACCUGUGCACCUUUUGUAGGCUUGGAUUAUCAGUGGUUCUAACGUGUCUUUCAAAAGGCAUAAGAAUUGUUUUGGGACUGCUGUGUUUAAACGCAUGUUUAUCAGCUUUCCCUUUUAUUUUCCAAGUCUAUGUUUGCUAUAUACACUCCAGUAAUCUAAUAGAAUGCUGUACUUUAGGUCAUUUGUACCUAUAAUAAAAUCAGUACAACUUUCAGCAACGGAUCUCUUGGCUCUCGCAUCGAUGAAGAACGCAGCGAAAUGCGAUAAGUAAUGUGAAUUGCAGAAUUCAGUGAAUCAUCGAAUCUUUGAACGCACCUUGCGCUCCUUGGUAUUCCAAGGAGCAUGCCUGUUUGAGUAUCAUUAAAUUAUCAACUGUACCAUUUGGUUACAGAUUGGAUGUGGGAGAUUUUGCAGGCUUUGAGAAAAGGUCAGCUCUCCUGAAAUGUAUUAGCAGUGCCUUUGUUGGUUCAUUUAGGUGUGAUAAUUUAUCUACAUCUUCACAUGGUACCUUCAUUUUGUAAAGGUCAUAUUGCUUCUAAUUGUCUUUGGACAAAAAAACAUAAUAUGUGUGACAAACUUGAUCUCAAAUCAGGCAGGACUACCCGCUGAACUUAAGCAUAUCAAUAAGCGGAGGAAAAGAAACUAACAAGGAUUCCCCUAGUAACUGCGAGUGAAGCGGGAAAAGCUCAAAUUUAAAAUCUGACAGUUGUUCUGGCUGUCCGAGUUGUAAUCUAGAGAAGUGUUACCCGCGCUGGACCGUGUACAAGUCUCCUGGAAUGGAGCAUCAU
Molecule: ribosomal RNA, 896 nt
Filed under: uncultured Inocybe
Lineage: Eukaryota; Fungi; Basidiomycota; Agaricomycetes; Agaricales; Cortinariaceae
Description: eukaryotic LSU rRNA
Rfam family: 5.8S ribosomal RNA (bases 315-468)
Source: RNAcentral